GCGGGUUAGAGUCGGGGCUUUGGCCGGGUGCGGGCUGUGACUGAGUGCUAGAGAGUCAGACCGCGUCGGGUCCGGGCUUUAGCACCCGCGGGUCGAGUCGGGUUUUACUUUGCAGGCCCGUUGAGACUCUAGACCGCGUUAAAACCUCAACAGGAUACAGCGGGAGGACAUAUGUAAUUUAAAGUGAUCAUUUCAGUGGAUUCAGGCUGGCUCUGCACGGGCUGGCUGCCUUUUGGCGCUAAACGUCGACCGAGUCCUCUCGCAGGGAGCGAACUGCCGCUGUUUCGGUUUAACUGGUGACCGUGUUAACUGGUGACUUCACGGAGGCGUUCUCCUAAAAAGACUUUAUAGUUUAAUCAUUUAUCAUCUGUCUUUAAUAUCUAAGUAUCUAACCAUUUAUGUAAGUUCAGUUGUGUUCAGAAGACGUAUUAACCUCUCGUAACAUCUUAAAAUGUGAGAAAGUCACCCGUUAACACGGUCACCAGUUAAACCGAAACACCGGACUCUAGUCCACCUGGACCAGGUGGUCUCGGUCGAAGAGGCACACCGUUUCCGUGCCUGUUUUGGUGGCUUCGCUUUGUAAACGCAAACUAUCCGAAAUGUGAAACAAUGUGUGAAUUCUCCCAGCUAGUGCGGACUGUGUGAGGAUGUGGCGGGAACACGACCUCCUCCCUCCGACUGCUGUGAAGCGUCUCGGCUCUCGUCUCUUUCUGUUUUUAAUGUCAUAUGCUUUAUCGGCACGCAUGGAAGGUCAACAAUAUUUCUAAGGUGUAAAGAAUACGAUACAAAUUGAGUUGUGAGUAAUUGAGAUUAAACACGAGCAAGGAAAUGUGAAAAAUAAGUUGUACCUGAUGUACCUGAACGUGUCAGGCUGGGCUCUGUCUCACUCACUGGAGCGACAGAGUGCGUGUAUCUCUAGUAGCCUUAUUUUAAAAGUUCACAGGAAAAAAGACCAUAUCAACUAAAGAAUGAAUUAUUCAAGCUAAGCCUGCAUGGGAAACAACUGAUGAAGAAAAGAGAGGAGAAUGAGUGUGGGAGCCACAGGAAUGCACGUGUAAAGGAGAAAGAUAUAGGGAGGACGAGCAGCAAAGGGCAGCAGGCCACAGUUGAACCCAGAUCACCAAGGGAAAAAGAGCCUCACAGCAUAACCUCCGCCCUGUGAGCCACUUGUGCAGCCCAUUUAACCCACAGUGAGAGUGGAAUUCCAACAGAGAAAACCAGAGAAGUUGUCAUCCGAUGUCUCAUUGAUCACCUCGGCGAGGAUGUGGGUGCCUUAAUCAAGGAGUUUGAGAAUCUUGAUGAUUCAGCCGUCAAUGUGGAAGAAGAGCUGGCAGCAGAGACGAUGGCUCUGUACCUUGUGCGUAAUGAAGAUGUAGGGAUCGUCAUUGAGGCUUCCAUCGUACUCAACCACCUUGGGGAUCUCAGCAGAGCCUGCUGCUACUUGCUUGGACUAAUUUAUGCCUUGGACCUCAAACACCCCAAAACUCUGAAAUACAUUUUUGAAGUAUUUCAAAAGAUGCUCGUUGAAGUGGAUGCUGGAAACCUGCCACCAAAGGUGCAACGACUGAAAAACAAUGUAAUGAUAUAGUUGUCUGUGGGGUAGAUGAGCACAGAUGAGACUCAUACCCAACUGAACCAUGCGUGUAAAAAACAGACUGUACCCUCAGUCAUUAGUGAGGUUCUUCUGGACAGAAACUUGGACAAUCUAUGGCUUCAUUUUGUCAAACCACCUCCAGGUGUUGUCUGACUGAGUGCAUGAUCUGAUGUUUGUUUGAUUGUACAUUUACAUUUUGCAUUAAUACGUUUUAUUUUUUUCUUUGAUCAUUCCUGUGAGGCACGAGGCAUCCGAUUUUUGAGUUUCAAGUCAAGAGUUUGGAGGCAGUUUCACCAGAAGUGACUUAAAUGUUGUACUUCUAAAGGAGAAAGUAGUUUUUGUAUUUUCAGUUUGGAGUUUCUGUAAUUGUGAGAAAUGCAGGUGUUUAAAAAAGCACAAGAGAUGACCAAUGUAUUGUCAUAUCUAAAUGUGAAGCCAAAUAUGCUGUGGAGAUGAUUUUGCCCUUGUGUCACAGAUUGUGAUAGGCCCAGGUACUGUUCAUCAAUGUGUUUAGUGUGAAGAAAACCCUUGCAUUAAUAUGCAUCUUUAAUAUGUAGCUUUUUUUUUUCAUGGCCAUUUGGCAAGAAGCAUUUUAGUUCAGAGGCUUUUGA
Long non-coding RNA from Morone saxatilis (striped sea-bass), 2205 nucleotides. RefSeq lists it as uncharacterized. The record is from RefSeq and is a predicted model, not a curated record. The transcript is spliced from 5 exons. Lineage: Eukaryota; Metazoa; Chordata; Actinopteri; Moronidae.